ACUCCUGAGAAUCCCUCACCUCCGUAGGCCAACUGGACAGGGGAACACUAAUGGUUCGAUCACCAGCUACUGCACUGAGAUCACAGGGCUGUGUCCCAUAACCUGGAAAGCACUGUGCAAAAGCGUCAAUCAAUAAUGUCCCCAGCCCAUGGUCACAAAGCCAGCAUCGAGGGAGCAUUGCA
This 182-nucleotide long non-coding RNA is filed under the name Ictidomys tridecemlineatus (thirteen-lined ground squirrel). RNAcentral describes it as "lncRNA (ENSSTOG00000034467.1)". Lineage: Eukaryota; Metazoa; Chordata; Mammalia; Rodentia; Sciuridae. The record is from RNAcentral.